This 205-nucleotide unclassified non-coding RNA is filed under the name Hevea brasiliensis (rubber tree). Lineage: Eukaryota; Viridiplantae; Streptophyta; Magnoliopsida; Malpighiales; Euphorbiaceae. The record is from RNAcentral.
GAAAUAAGAACCAAAGAAGAAAACUAUUCAACAUUCCAAACUAUCAUCGCCAGCUCAUGGCAGUACAGCACUACAAGCUGAUAAAUCACAACAAAUAUGCACAUAAUUUGAAGAAUAUGGGGAUAAUAGCAUACCAGAAAACAAGAAGAUGUUAUAUCCUAAUUUAGAAAAACGGAUGAAAAUAAAAAAAUUUGACUCAUUUCUA